This 776-nucleotide ribosomal RNA is filed under the name uncultured Enterococcaceae bacterium. RNAcentral describes it as "bacterial SSU rRNA". It matches the Rfam family "Bacterial small subunit ribosomal RNA", at positions 28 to 776 of the family's 1533-position model. Lineage: Bacteria; Bacillati; Bacillota; Bacilli; Lactobacillales; Enterococcaceae. The record is from RNAcentral.
GACGAACGCUGGCGGCGUGCCUAAUNNNNCAAAGUCGAACGCUUUUUCUUUCACCGGAGCUUGCUCCACCGAAAGAAAAAGAGUGGCGAACGGGUGAGUAACACGUGGGUAACCUGCCCAUCAGAAGGGGAUAACACUUGGAAACAGGUGCUAAUACCGUAUAACAAGUAAAACCGCAUGGUUUUACUUUGAAAGGCGCUUUUGCGUCACUGAUGGAUGGACCCGCGGUGCAUUAGCUAGUUGGUGAGGUAACGGCUCACCAAGGCAACGAUGCAUAGCCGACCUGAGAGGGUGAUCGGCCACAUUGGGACUGAGACACGGCCCAAACUCCUACGGGAGGCAGCAGUAGGGAAUCUUCGGCAAUGGACGAAAGUCUGACCGAGCAACGCCGCGUGAGUGAAGAAGGUUUUAGGAUCGUAAAACUCUGUUGUUAGAGAAGAACAAGGAUGAGAGUAAAAUGUUCAUCCCUUGACGGUAUCUAACCAGAAAGCCACGGCUAACUACGUGCCAGCAGCCGCGGUAAUACGUAGGUGGCAAGCGUUGUCCGGAUUUAUUGGGCGUAAAGCGAGCGCAGGCGGUUUCUUAAGUCUGAUGUGAAAGCCCCCGGCUCAACCGGGGAGGGUCAUUGGAAACUGGGAAACUUGAGUGCAGAAGAGGAGAGUGGAAUUCCAUGUGUAGCGGUGAAAUGCGUAGAUAUAUGGAGGAACACCAGUGGCGAAGGCGGCUCUCUGGUCUGUAACUGACGCUGAGGCUCGAAAGCGUGGGGAGCAAGCAGG